GAUGAACGCUGGCGGCGUGCCUAAUACAUGCAAGUCGAGCGAACAGACGAGGAGCUUGCUCCUCUGACGUUAGCGGCGGACGGGUGAGUAACACGUGGAUAACCUACCUAUAAGACUGGGAUAACUUCGGGAAACCGGAGCUAAUACCGGAUAAUAUAUUGAACCGCAUGGUUCAAUAGUGAAAGACGGUUUUGCUGUCACUUAUAGAUGGAUCCGCGCCGCAUUAGCUAGUUGGUAAGGUAACGGCUUACCAAGGCAACGAUGCGUAGCCGACCUGAGAGGGUGAUCGGCCACACUGGAACUGAGACACGGUCCAGACUCCUACGGGAGGCAGCAGUAGGGAAUCCUCCGCAAAGGGCGAAAGCCUUACGGAGCAACGCCGCGUGAGUGAUGAAGGUCUUCGGAUCGUAAAACUCUGUUAUUAGGGAAGAACAAAUGUGUAAGGAACUAUGCACGUCUUGACGGUACCUAAUCAGAAAGCCACGGCUAACUACGUG
This 497-nucleotide ribosomal RNA is filed under the name uncultured bacterium. Its description in RNAcentral is "partial 16S ribosomal RNA". It matches the Rfam family "Bacterial small subunit ribosomal RNA", at positions 28 to 507 of the family's 1533-position model. The record is from RNAcentral.